CUCAGACCCGGCUUGGGUGUUUUUUUCAAAAAAUUUCGGGCCCGGCCAGGGUAUAUUUAAAAAAAUUAAAAUAAUGUCCGGCCUGGGGGCAAGGCCUGCAGAUCUCUGAAAAACAUACCAAGAAGUACAACAUCUGAAAGUAGAUUGAAAGAUUUGGAUCUUUUGAAUAUUCAUAGGCAUUUGACGACAAGCAAGGAUGAGAUAAUUGAAAAAUUAGCUCUAUCACAACGAAGAUUGGAUUUUACAUUACUAAAUUCCUGCGUACGCGCCUGACUUAGACCCAUUAAUAUUAAUCUGAGUGUGGCUAUGGAACAAGAACAAGGUGAAGAACCACAACCAAAAUUUUUAUUAAAACACAAAAGUAAUACCAUAAAGAAUUAUUUUCAAGCAAAAGAUAUUAUUUUAAAAGAUACUUCAAUGUCAAUGUCUA
This is a long non-coding RNA of Gordionus sp. m RMFG-2023, 430 nucleotides long. RefSeq lists it as uncharacterized. The record is from RefSeq and is a predicted model, not a curated record. The transcript is spliced from 3 exons. NCBI's taxonomy places the organism in Eukaryota, Metazoa, Nematomorpha, Gordioida, Chordodea, Parachordodidae.